ACAGCAGUUCUGCCCUUCGGGUUCCUCUGCCCAGCCUAGGACGGAGUUCCCUGGAUGGAAAGUGCUGUUGUGGCAGUAGCCUAAAGAGAGGUGCCAGCGCCAGAUGGCAGAAUGCAUUGAUCCAGGCCUUGUGAUAUUGAAAGUAGCUGACGUGACUCCAUGGCUCACGGGACCUUCCCAAAAUUUCCACUUCUAGCAGUUGAGCUGAGGUCUUGAUCGUUAUUUCCCUCUUCCAGGCUGUGAGGGGGUUUCAUAUCCCCAUUCUAUUGUCGGCUGUGGGAUGUCUUUGAGAAUUCCUUUCUGCAGAGGGCAAGAACCUUCUUUAGCUUGAAAUAAGCCUUUUCAGUUCCUCCUGGCCUGGCAUUUUAACUGGUCUUGAUUUAUUUUUUUCGUCUGAUGCUCUACAAACCCAGAGUAUGGGUAGAGGUUCACAAGCAAUUGGAUUGCAAUGGCUUUCGAAGUUACGGGCUACAUGGUAACUGUGCUUCCAAUCUGUUGUCUCUGCAAGGACUCUUUUCUCCUGAAGUGAAAUCUUACUCUGAAAUUGUAUUCAAAUCACAGUAACAGAAAAACCUAUCUGGAAAGUUAAGGAACGGACUUGCAUACAAUGAAGGCUUUGGUAUGAAUGCAGUCCUUGAAUCUGGCUAAACCUGUACUUAUGUGAAUAAUUGGGCAGGUUUAAAAAGUAGGACGUACAUGAUUGUUUUAAGGUGCUCAAGGGGAAA
Molecule: long non-coding RNA, 725 nt
Organism: Aquila chrysaetos chrysaetos
Lineage: Eukaryota; Metazoa; Chordata; Aves; Accipitriformes; Accipitridae
Exons: 2
Source: RefSeq, a predicted model, not a curated record